This 250-nucleotide ribosomal RNA is filed under the name uncultured bacterium. Its description in RNAcentral is "partial 16S ribosomal RNA". It matches the Rfam family "Bacterial small subunit ribosomal RNA", at positions 524 to 773 of the family's 1533-position model. The record is from RNAcentral.
UACGUAGGGGGCGAGCGUUGUCCGGAAUGACUGGGCGUAAAGGGCGCGUAGACGGUUGAUUAAGUCUGGAGUGAAAGUCCUGCUUUCAAGGUGGGAAUUGCUUUGGAGACUGGUUGACUUGAGUGCGGAAGAGGUAAGUGGAAUUCCCAGUGUAGCGGUGAAAUGCGUAGAGAUUGGGAGGAACACCAGUGGCGAAGGCGACUUACUGGGCCGUAACUGACGUUGAUGCGCGAAAGCGUGGGGAGCGAAC